UGCAGUCGAACGGUGACCCUGGAGCAUGCUCCGGGCGAUCAGUGGCGAACGGGUGAGUAACACGUGAGUAACCUACCCCAGACUCUGGGAUAACCUCGGGAAACCGGGGCUAAUACCGGAUACGAGACGCUCCUGCAUGGGAUGCGUCUGGAAAGAUUUAUCGGUCUGGGAUGGACUCGCGGCCUAUCAGCUAGUUGGUGAGGUAAUGGCUCACCAAGGCGACGACGGGUAGCCGGCCUGAGAGGGCGACCGGCCACACUGGAACUGAGACACGGUCCAGACUCCUACGGGAGGCAGCAGUGGGGAAUAUUGCACAAUGGGCGCAAGCCUGAUGCAGCGACGCCGCGUGGGGGAUGAAGGCCUUCGGGUUGUAAACCCCUUUCAGUAGGGAAGAAGCGAAAGUGACGGUACCUACAGAAGAAGCGCCGGCUAACUACGUGCCAGCAGCCGCGGUAAUACGUAGGGCGCAAGCGUUGUCCGGAAUUAUUGGGCGUAAAGAGCUCGUAGGCGGUUUGUCGCGUCUGCUGUGAAAACCCGAGGCUCAACCUCGGGCCUGCAGUGGGUACGGGCAGACUAGAGUGUGGUAGGGGAGACUGGAAUUCCUGGUGUAGCGGUGGAAUGCGCAGAUAUCAGGAGGAACACCAAUGGCGAAGGCAGGUCUCUGGGCCACAACUGACGCUGAGGAGCG
Molecule: ribosomal RNA, 688 nt
Filed under: uncultured bacterium
Lineage: Bacteria
Description: bacterial SSU rRNA
Rfam family: Bacterial small subunit ribosomal RNA
Source: RNAcentral